UGGCGGACGGGUGAGUAACGCGUGGGUAACCUGCCUCAUACAGGGGGAUAACAGUUAGAAAUGACUGCUAAUACCGCAUAAGACCACAGCACCGCAUGGUGCAGGGGUAAAAACUCCGGUGGUAUGAGAUGGACCCGCGUCUGAUUAGGUAGUUGGUGGGGUAACGCCUACCAAGCCGACGAUCAGUAGCCGACCUGAGAGGGUGACCGGCCACAUUGGGACCGAGACACGGCCCAA
RNAcentral lists this ribosomal RNA (237 nucleotides) under uncultured bacterium. Its description in RNAcentral is "partial 16S ribosomal RNA". It matches the Rfam family "Bacterial small subunit ribosomal RNA", at positions 96 to 334 of the family's 1533-position model. The record is from RNAcentral.